Molecule: non-coding RNA, 678 nt
Organism: Vicugna pacos (alpaca)
Lineage: Eukaryota; Metazoa; Chordata; Mammalia; Artiodactyla; Camelidae
Source: RefSeq, a predicted model, not a curated record
GAGCGUGGCUGGCGCCCAGCGCUUUCACCCUUCUGGAAGGUGGGUGCACAUUCCACAGGUGCGCAGCUCCACCUGGAAACAGGACGCCCCCUGGCAGCACUGAGCUCCGGGACCCAGCCCUCCACCGGGACGCGGGUUGCUCCCUCCGAAGCCCUGCCUGGGGCUGCAGGGGAGUUCUGGUCCCUUCCAAGGCCAAGGUGCCCUGGCAGGGUGGCGGGCGCCCGGCCUGCCGUGGGCUGCAGGCUCCGUCCCAUCCUGGCAAUGGCCUGGCGGCUGCGGGGCAGGCGCAGAGCCCCCGCUCUCCUCCCGGCCGGGGCUGUGCUGGGUCUGGGCGAUGCUCAGAAGGAGAACUACUCUCCUGAGAUGUAACUCACUUGGUAGAAUACUUGGAAUACUGAAAUCCUCUCAUUUUUAGGACAAAAUUGGACUUGUAUUUCUCUAUAACAAGUACUAGACCUAGAAAAAUACAAAGAGCUCCAUAAUAAUGCGGCAAAAUGUACCCUGCAAAAUCACUUAUCUAAAGUUUUCCACUGUAAAACAAAAGCACAUCCAAUGAACCUGGUGGAUUUUGGGGAAGAAAAGCCGCCGCCUCUUUCCCGGAAGUCUGACGGAGCCGAGUUCCCGGACUGCCGGCCGCGGCCACAGGGAGCGCCCCCCGCGCCCCGAGCCCGCGUGCUG